RNAcentral lists this ribosomal RNA (450 nucleotides) under uncultured bacterium. RNAcentral describes it as "partial 16S ribosomal RNA". It matches the Rfam family "Bacterial small subunit ribosomal RNA", at positions 338 to 795 of the family's 1533-position model. The record is from RNAcentral.
CCUACGGGUGGCUGCAGUAAGGAAUAUUGGUCAAUGGACGAAAGUCUGAACCAGCCAUGCCGCGUGGAGGAUGAAGGUCCUCUGGAUUGUAAACUUCUUUUAUAUGGGACGAAAAAAGGCCUUUCUAGGCCGUCUGACGGUACCAUAUGAAUAAGCACAGGCUAACUCCGUGCCAGCAGCCGCGGUAAUACGGAGGGUGCAAGCGUUAUCCGGUUUCACGGGGGCGUAGGGGUGCGUAUAAGUCAGUAGAGAAAUCUCCGAGCUUAACUUUGAAACUGCCAUUGAUACUAGUAAUCUUGAAUAUUGUGGAGGUUAGCGGAAUAUGUCAUGUAGCGGUGAAAUGCUUAGAUAUGACAUAGAACACCAAUUGCGAAGGCAGCUGGCUACACAUAUAUUGACACUGAGGCACGAAAGCGUGGGGAUCAAACAGGAUUAGAUACCCUUGUAGUC